CGGGAAGGCCCGCGGGCUGCGCCUUGGCACGUUUGGAGUCUUCUCUCGCCUCUGCCUGCUGCGCCUUUGUCCUCGGGGUUCUUGGAGGCCAGGCUCAAACGCACACUAGUUUCACGGGCCUCACCCUCCCAGCCUUCUUCUCACGGGUUUCUGCGCCAUCACCCCCACCUCUCAGUAUCUUUUUGCAUUAGGGGUCCCACAGAACCCUGAAGGAAUGUCAAGGUGAGCCUCACCCCUUGCUCUUGGCAAAGCCAAAAUAAGGUUAGAACUCCGUUUCUGGAUUCCCAUUAGAAUCCCCCCCCCGCCCCCCCGUUUCCAGACUCCCAGUCCAGCACUGUUUACAUUAACGCAGUGGGUGUUCCUAGGAAUCCUGGCUCAGGAGCUACCCUCUAAAAGAGGGUGUCGGUGCCAAAUGGGUUUGUCAAGGUGCUAUCUCGCCUUCUUGGAGAUUCACGAUGCUCAUUAGCAUACCAAAGGCUCUGAGAAGUCCUGCUGUAAAAGAAGCUCAAGUGAUUUGGUUUACAGUGUUAACUGCCUCUGGACCUGGACCAGUUACUUUUUGCCACCUAAGACUUCCGAGCAUCCCUGUGCUGGCUUGGCUGUCAUUCUUUCCUAAGGGAUCCAACCCAUUGGCUGUGGUAUGAUUGAAGAUCUGGGGUGCUCCUCUUUCCUAGGGAAUUUCUCUAGCAGAGGGAGGGCUUGCCUCAGUGGGGGAGAAGAUAGCCAUCCCUGCCAGGCCCCGGAGAGACCUGGGAGUCGGUAGAUCGGAACAUUGCUCUACAUUGUUUGAAAAAUGAAGUCAAGGUUAUCCAAGUGGUUACCUACUCAAGAGGAACAUUAUCUGUAUGAGAUGCUGGCAUUGACUGUGAGCAACUGGCAGGAGUGGGUCUCAUUCGCCAAAGAGAGAAGAACACUCCGAGUUGGGGUGAACAGCUGGCCCAGUCUCUGUAAGGUUUCCAGGUACAGAGAUUCCCAGGGCUCGCUUCCCUGGGCAGUGGACCCUGUUCUGGCCUGGGCCAGCAGAGAGGCUGCCGAGUGGGGAGCGCGGAUGACCCCUGCCCAGCAGCUUCCCUUCAGCAUUAUCCAGUGGAAGAUCCAAGAUGCAUCACCAUUGAAAUUGCAUCCUCAGCUCAGAACCAGCUCAGAACUGAGGAUCACUUCUUAGUCCCCCAGCUGAUGGUACUCUGUCUGUGGUCAGGUGACCUUACUCAGGAGUAGACCUCUCCUUGGCCUUCAUGGUACCUUAUCUCUCCAGAUGUGCCUGAAACAUUCCAGAGCUCACCGGCUCUUCUAGAUGUGCCUUCCUGCUUGGUCUUCAGCUGCUUCUCUAGAUGUGAGAAGGGCGUGCAAAACAGCCCCCACACUCAUCCCCUCCUCCCCUGAGACCCUGUACCAUAGGAAUGGCCACUUGACCUACUGGCCCAGAAUUUUUGGAUACUGGAGGCAGUCUCAUUGGCCUCCCUCGUUAGAAUCCGGGACUCAGUCCUACUUGAGACCAUUUUGGUUCUACCAGUGCAAAAAUCUAGAACUGAUUGUGGAUCUAAGAGAGGAUUUUUCUAGUGUUCUACAAAGGCCAAAAGAGAGGGUGAGAGUGGGAGGGGCCAGUAGCCAGAGGGGACCUAUGUGCCUCAUUUAAUAGUUUAGUGGUGAUUACUAAUUUGCUUUUCUGAAUAAAGUUUGGUUUGUCUGAU
Molecule: long non-coding RNA, 1691 nt
Filed under: Canis lupus dingo (dingo)
Lineage: Eukaryota; Metazoa; Chordata; Mammalia; Carnivora; Canidae
Description: lncRNA (ENSCAFG00020006104.1)
Source: RNAcentral